UGUAUGUCUAUGGGAGUGCAUGUACGUCUAUGUAGGUUUUGGAUUCCUCGAGAGAAGCAGGUGGAGAGUGGGGCUGUGAGACGGUGAGGCUGAUCAGAGCCUGGAGCAGAACAAACCACUAAGACAAUUGUUUAUGCAAAGGCUGUUUGGCUUGAGGGUGACAAACAGUUUGAAGGUGUCAUCCCAAAAAACUGGAUACAGGAAGAAAGAAAUGUUGUGCCAUGGCCAAAGAAAAGUGUGCACACUUCCACAAAAAGAAGAUGGACCCAGAGGAUGACUGGGAAACAUUCCCACUUGUGAAUAUAAAGAAGAUUCCAGACAAUGAGAAAGAUUGUGAAGAUUGUAACUACACCUCAUCAGCCCAGACUGACCAUGAGGGUUCCACCAUUGUGCCAGAAGAAAUCAGGAAGAGACAUGUAAAGAAGAGGACAUAUGAUGAGUUUGUUGAUGGUAAAUGUUUACAAUUUAAAAUAUGUUAUACAGUAUAUUGUUUCACUUGCAAAAAG
Chelmon rostratus (copperband butterflyfish) is the source of this 506-nucleotide long non-coding RNA. RefSeq lists it as uncharacterized. The record is from RefSeq and is a predicted model, not a curated record. Lineage: Eukaryota; Metazoa; Chordata; Actinopteri; Chaetodontiformes; Chaetodontidae. The transcript is spliced from 4 exons.